GGUCGCGUGGCCUAAUGGUUAAGGCGCUAGAUUUCGGUUAACCGAUAUCACCGUGCUCUCUAGAGAUUCCAGGUUCGACUCCUGGCGUGAUCG
RNAcentral lists this transfer RNA (93 nucleotides) under Drechmeria coniospora. It matches the Rfam family "tRNA". From Rfam's summary of the family: Transfer RNA (tRNA) molecules are approximately 80 nucleotides in length. Their secondary structure includes four short double-helical elements and three loops (D, anti-codon, and T loops). Further hydrogen bonds mediate the characteristic L-shaped molecular structure. tRNAs have two regions of fundamental functional importance: the anti-codon, which is responsible for specific mRNA codon recognition, and the 3' end, to which the tRNAs corresponding amino acid is attached (by aminoacyl-tRNA synthetases). tRNAs cope with the degeneracy of the genetic code in two manners: having more than one tRNA (with a specific anti-codon) for a particular amino acid; and 'wobble' base-pairing, i.e. permitting non-standard base-pairing at the 3rd anti-codon position. The record is from Rfam by way of RNAcentral. Lineage: Eukaryota; Fungi; Ascomycota; Sordariomycetes; Hypocreales; Ophiocordycipitaceae.